This is a long non-coding RNA of Passer domesticus (house sparrow), 1121 nucleotides long. RefSeq lists it as uncharacterized. Lineage: Eukaryota; Metazoa; Chordata; Aves; Passeriformes; Passeridae. The record is from RefSeq and is a predicted model, not a curated record. The transcript is spliced from 2 exons.
AUUUCAUAUUCUAAUCCCCAUUCAAGUAUUUGUGUAGGAGACAACUAGAAGGCAAGGCAAUCUGUGGUAAUAAAGAGUGCAGGACUGGUGGUUGUGUAAACAUGAAGUUCAUUACCUUGUUUUCUGUGGGUUUUUGUAGGUAACAAGAUGAUUUUUAAGGUCCCUUCCAAACCAGGCCAUGCUGUGAGUCUAUUAUGCCAAAUUUGUGCAGUUGGUAGACAUGUCUACUUCGGAUUUGCUUCUGUUAAGUCAACCCUGAGGAUGUAAAAUAAAAAUGAAAGGGAACAACAGGAGCUUGUUACUGGAUAAAAGAUUGCAAACCAAGUGUCAGCAGUGAGAGCCACAAGGAAUUUGUGUUGGGCAAGUCCAGAAAUGAGGAUGCUGGAGGCAGCCCCAGUGCUGGGGUUGGUUCUCUGUGGAAAAUGCACAUGGGAUGGAUUUGAUUUAUUUUGGGGGGCCUGGAAUAAUGAAGAAGUGCAUGCUGAUGUUCAGUAACAUUUCAUUGUGAAGCCAAUUGCCUGGGCAGUGUCACCUGUUGGGUACCUAAUGCAGUCCUGGGAGAAGGGACAUGAGGUUUUGGGUGUGAUGGGGAGGGGGUGGAGGAUGGGGACUGCAAGCAGAGCAGGGAAAGUCAUUAGAAAAUAAGAAGUGUUUUCAAAAACUCUGUGAGGAUCUGAUUGCCAUCUGAGUUCUGUCACUUCAGAGUAUAAACACAGCAUGAUUAUUGGAAUUGAAGUGUUUCUACUGCGGAGCGUGAAGCAAGGUCAAAAAGGAGAGUAAUUUGGAUUGUGCAAGUUAAACAAUGAUUUUUUAAAAAUACUUUGCCACAGAGCUAUCAAAAAAUGGCAAUUGAUGAAGAGGCCAGGGAAGAGGUUGUAACUGUGAUGAUGAUGAUUUCUACUUCGUGGUUUUCCACACUUUCAAACCCUUGAGCCAACCAUGGGAUACACAUGGACCCAGCAGAGUUGUGCCAAGAUUGGUUCUGAGGCAUCUGCUCUGAGUCACCCUUGCUCCAGCAAAGAUGAGAGCUGACAUCGGCUCAAUGCUGCCUAAAGUGACUUUAAAGAUGUUGUUAGAGGCUUCUUUUCACAGGGUCAGCCACUAAAAUAACUUUAUCUGCA